GAUGAACGCUGGCGGCGUGCCUAAUACAUGCAAGUCGAGCGAACAGACGAGGAGCUUGCUCCUCUGACGUUAGCGGCGGACGGGUGAGUAACACGUGGAUAACCUACCUAUAAGACUGGGAUAACUUCGGGAAACCGGAGCUAAUACCGGAUAAUAUAUUGAACCGCAUGGUUCAAUAGUGAAAGACGGUUUUGCUGUCACUUAUAGAUGGAUCCGCGCCGCAUUAGCUAGUUGGUAAGGUAACGGCUUACCAAGGCGACGAGGCGUAGCCGACCUGAGAGGGUGAAUCGCCACACUGGGACUGGGAACGGGGCCAGGCCCCUGGGGGAGGGAGAAGUGGGGGAAUUUGGCGAAAGGGGGGAAAUCUGGACGAGGCAACGCCGGUGGGGGGAGAAAGCGUUUGGGUUCGAAAAACCUUUUUUUGGGGGAAAAAAAAAGUUGGAUAUCACUAUGCCGUUUUGAAGGGAACCUAAGAAGAAGGCCCGGCUAACUUCGUG
RNAcentral lists this ribosomal RNA (497 nucleotides) under uncultured bacterium. RNAcentral describes it as "partial 16S ribosomal RNA". It matches the Rfam family "Bacterial small subunit ribosomal RNA", at positions 28 to 507 of the family's 1533-position model. The record is from RNAcentral.